Molecule: transfer RNA, 88 nt
Filed under: Hirsutella minnesotensis 3608
Lineage: Eukaryota; Fungi; Ascomycota; Sordariomycetes; Hypocreales; Ophiocordycipitaceae
Rfam family: tRNA
About the family: Transfer RNA (tRNA) molecules are approximately 80 nucleotides in length. Their secondary structure includes four short double-helical elements and three loops (D, anti-codon, and T loops).
Source: Rfam by way of RNAcentral
GGGGAAAUAGUGUAGGGGUUAUCACGUUUGCUUUGCAUCGUUUAAACGUGCUUGUAGAAGGUCCGGGGUUCAAAUCCCCGUUUCUCCA